GUUUUAAAUGUGUAUAUAUAUUAUCACAAUUAUGACAUUCUAAACUUUUUUAAAGUGUAUGUGUGAAAGACGUAGAUCUAAUAAGGGUUUCCCAAAGGCAACCCCAAUAGACUUACAUUAAGUGCACAGGUGUUAGAUGGAUUUGAAUCAAGGCGAGCACAUUGGCCCCGGAAGGCCCAGCUACAAAAACCUCGAAUAUUUCCAGUAAUGAUCCUUCCGCAGGUUCACCUACGGAAA
RNAcentral lists this unclassified non-coding RNA (237 nucleotides) under uncultured fungus. RNAcentral's name for it is "sequence contains ITS1". The record is from RNAcentral. Lineage: Eukaryota; Fungi.